AAGCAGAACAACAACAAGGCAAUCUUUCAGCUGCACCUCACGGUCAAACACACCUUUCAAGGACUCCCAUGAAAACAGCGUAGCCACUGAUAUUGAUGAACGCCAUUUGUUGAUUUACACUCGUGGCAGGAUUUCAAAGAAUUAGAAGGAGGGCGUAAGAUGGAGUGGAAUACGAGAGACCAACACCUCAGUUUGCACAGGUGCCAUGCACAUCCACGAGCCAGGUUUCCACAGCAACGAGGGCUUUACAAACCUACUCUACCAUAGUUGCUGAGAGAGACAGAGCGCGCAAUAGCCUUGGCAGGUUCUAUGUGAGAUUAAGACGUUUUCCUCUAAACAGACUGUCAGAGGCACCCUAUGCCACGGCUGCACCUGUAGACAGACCAUCAAGGCCUGACAUGAAGGUCUUUGCAGACAUUCUCAGAUGCCUUCUGGAAAAAGGCCACUUUUGGGUCACACGCAACAUACUCGUAUCCCCAUGCGCACACACAUCAGAUGACCACAAGUCUUCUAUAACGGCGUUCUCAAAAUCAAGAUCAAUCCGACUUGAUUUUUCCAAAUGCUCUUGUGUGUCAUAACUUUACGUGACUCUAGACCGCAAUGCGUGCCAUCGCCAUGACAAGCUGCACUGGAUUAAACAUUAAAAAGCUGCAUGCCGUGCGCCUGUGUCUCCAUGCAUUUCAAAUGAGCUGACAGCGUGAUCCAAUCUCUUCACUUCUCACAGCACUGAUCAGCUGAAAUUCAUAUAACAGGUGUCGCAUAUGUGGACCCCAAAGUCAAUGAAAAUCCUAUUACAUUUGAUAUAACUGGCUUAAUGAAACUUGCCCAGCGGUGGUGGCCCAGACGUAAUUAAUAAAUGAUGCUCCAGAGAGAGUGCAAAUUGAAACCCUUUCCAUGUGAUUGCCAGGUUUCUGUUUGGAUAAUCAAGCAGGAGGGGUAACACACUAAACAAAUACAAAACCUUUUUUAGAAACUCUUAAAAGCCUUGUUUGUAUGACGGAUUACAGAUACACCUCUCCUACAUUUGCAUUCUGGUAUACUGAUGUCCUUAAAACAGCAAGAACUAAAUAGGCCACUAUGUAAAUGUUUUCUCUUCUUUUACACGUCUUUGAAAUGUGAUUUUAUAUAGCUGUCGAUUUAAUGCCGGGCCAUUUUUGUAUCAUUAUUGUAUCAUUAUUAAACUUUUUGUCCAGU
Molecule: long non-coding RNA, 1194 nt
Organism: Clupea harengus (Atlantic herring)
Lineage: Eukaryota; Metazoa; Chordata; Actinopteri; Clupeiformes; Clupeidae
Source: Ensembl